AAGCCCUCUAUUUGUCUAUUUCAGAGACCUGACAGGGCUUGUCUAUACUUGGCCCCUUGUUACCUUUCUGGGGUGCAUCCAUUGUGAAUAUUGUGUUUAAAUUCACUGUAUUGCUAUAUGAUCAGCUUACACUCCUGUGUUAAUUUCAACUCACCAUGGUUACAGCCUGAUUAGCUCUAUCUACCUUCACUGGAUUUUUAGCUGCAAUCUGCAUUGGCUAUAUACUACUAUGGUGCAGAUGGAACUUUUUCACUGGAUGCCAGUACAAGUUUAUUCUUUUAACCAUUAACCCCUCACCAGUUCAGACUCCGGGUUACUGUUACCCCUAAUCUCAACUGAUGCUCCUCUAGCACAUUUAUAACAAAAAGUCCUUUGAAGAAGCGCCAUAUCUCAGCGCGAAACAUGUCAGGCCACAGCGAUUCCUUUGUCAUCGUUUAGACCUUCAGUCUAUGCAGUCUUCGGUCCUUCCUCAGGAACUUUUACAAUCUAUAAGUGGUUGGAGGUUCUUUGUUUGUCUUUAUCAACAGUAUAUCUCAAUAACCAGUUGAAAUUCUUUUUUAUGUAAUUAUGUUUAAUUACCAAUUCCUGAUGGUUCUCACUGAAUACUGUAACGCUGUGUAAUUUUGUUUUUGUGCAAAUUCAAUC
Long non-coding RNA from Rana temporaria (common frog), 645 nucleotides. RefSeq lists it as uncharacterized. The transcript is spliced from 3 exons. NCBI's taxonomy places the organism in Eukaryota, Metazoa, Chordata, Amphibia, Anura, Ranidae. The record is from RefSeq and is a predicted model, not a curated record.